UCUCGUGGAAUUUGACCUACGAAACUGGACAUAUUCUGAUUUCGCUUUCGAUGUGUCUUUUACAUGUAAGGAUAGAAUAUGCCUAGACUUUUUAUACCAUUCAGUAUUUAAAGAUUUUUUAUGCCAUUCCAUUAGCGUUGUGUAGGCGCAAAGCUACACUUAGUUUCAUAGAGAAUGAAAGGUCAAGUCUUUCUUUAUCAUCUAUCUUUAGACGAAACAGACCUCUCUUUUUAGAGUAAAGACUUUGACUAAUCAUUGGAGCAUAUAUAGGCCUCACUAUCGUUAGAGCGCCUAAGCCAAUUGAUGGAAAAACAUCAUCAAUACGAUCCUUGAGUUCCUAUUUGAGACCGUGUCUUCCCAAGAUCCUUUUUAUUCUUAACUUCAGAUGUUUUGAUACAUAUUGACAUGUCUUGUCCAUUAAGAGUCCACAUGUAAAUCCGAAAUCAAUACGCAAGGGCAUUAUUCAUCAUAUCCCUUCUAAAUCAAGUAAGUACUUAUUGUGCGUUCCAACUUCUCUUGCAAACACAUGCUCCGGUGGUCUGGCGCCACUUGAUUCGGGUGAAUGAAGUUUAUCUAAGACUUUCAUGCAUAUCUCAGAUCCCAUAGAGAUAUAAUCAUAACCACAUGGGCUGCUGUAACACCCUGACCCAGAUUAACGGAUGAUAAAUCCGAGAUUAGGGUGUCACGAAAUGGUUUAGAAACAUCAAUUAGGUCUUAUCGCGUUUGAGAAGAUCAAAUAUUGUAGUUGAAUUUUCAUGAGAUUUAAACACAACCCCAAAAGACAUAAACCCAGAUGAAAUCAUAAAUACCUGAAACGAGGAGCUGGAGCUUCCAGCCUUCCCACCCGGCCCCUCUCCCCUCAUUUCGAUCCCUUUUUUGCCUAAAAAGAUCGAGAAAGUUGGUGGAGGGUGAUAAGAUCAGGGAGGUCGUUGUCUUCCUCUAACUCCUUCUCAUAGAAGAAAAGAAAAUCGGAGAAAGCAAGAGAGAUAGAGAGACUGAUAGAGAGAGACUGAGAGAGUUAUAGAGAAGAAGAGUAGUUUUUUUUUUUUUUUUCUUCCUCCCCCCAGGAACUUCCCCUUCCCUCCCUUAAUCUCUUGCUAAGAUCGGUGGUCUGACGGUUUAACACCGAUCCUUCUAGACCUCCCCCGAUAUUUCUCUAUUUUUUUUAUCUAUAUUUAUAUCCAAAACUGUUUAUAUCCAAAACUAUCUAUAAUAUGUAUUUAUUGUCUCAUAUAUACUUAAAUUACGGUAUUAUAGCUAUAAUACGGGUUAUCGCGAUAUUAAAAUUAUCUUUCAUAAUCUCAAGACUUUGGAAAGUCACGAUAAAUAGUCAAGAAUUUAAAAAAUUCUCACAAACCCGUCAUCAUUUUACCUCGUCACAGGAAUUUAAGUGACAUUUCAAGCAUUCUCAUUAUUCACCGAUUUCAAAAGUAUUUCUUACAAACCCUCACUUAAAUUGUGUCGAUAUGGAUUUUACCAAAUCCUGAAACUAUAUGUGUGUGUGUGUAUAUAUAUAUAUAUAUAACUUACCUUAUGAACCGUCGGAGUAUUACAAACUCACCCCUUUAAAAAAUUUCGUCCUCGAAAUUUAUAAUAGUCCUUGGUGUGUGAUAUCUGGUACGUACUCAAGACGUUUCCCCUUGGUGAGCAAUCACCUUGGCACAUAACUAUAGUAUCUCAAGGUACUUCAGAUAUCAAAUAGUUCUGGAUAGUAUACAUGUAUCCUGCUUCCGUUGUGUUCACAUCCACUUUAAUUCAUUCUUGUACAACUGAAGUUACUGGCAAUUUAUUUACAAUAUUCACAGCCACCAUUUUCUUUUAUGUUAGAUUUUCAAAAUUAUUUACCAUACUAAUUUUCUAAUCCGAUAUAGAAAUACUAUCAAGAAAUGAGUGCUUACUUAUUCUAGAGAGAAAGACAGCUAGCUGAACCAUUUUGCUUGCAUUUUCUUUUAAUUCGUAUAAUGACAUCGCAUUAUAAUCGAAUUGAGUUCUCUCUAGAUUUUAUAUCUCUGUUUGUGAAUAUAUUGCUUCUUUCAAAUUGUGAAACUUACUGCUGCUCAGAACAACUGUCUCACAAUCCAUAAUGGCAAAACCAAGAACCAACUCAAGUGUACAAAAUCCUGCAACACCAUAAAUUAAACGAAUCUGACCCCAUCUGGUCUUUUAACUAUUUGCAAAUCCAUCUAUACCCUUUUUUCCAAUCACAGAGACAAAAAGUUGAAACCUUGUCUGCAAUUAAAUCAACUCAGCCAAAAUUUUUUUUUAACCUUUUCAUCAACCAGGUCUUUCUUUGAAUUGUAGCAGAUUAGCUACUUUCCUUGAAAUUUAUAAUAGGUCGAUCAAUAAAAACAUAUAUGAUGCACGGUAUAUGAACAAGUAAUAAAUUUGCACAUGUUCACGCAAAUGAGAAUCUCUUCCACAUUUUCAUGAUUGUGUCAUGAGAUCCCCGCACUCGGCGGUAAAAUCCGACACUCGGCCGUAAUCCCCACACUCGGAGGUAAACCCCGCAUUCAGCGGUAAAAUCGGGCACUCGGCCAUAAAACCCCGCACUCGGUGGUAAACCCCACACUGGGCAAUAAAAUCCGGCACUCGGCAGUCGCACCCUGCAUUGGCGGCAAACCCGUCACUCGAGUGGUAAAACCCGGCACUCGGCCGUAACCAGUGUGGUAACCCUACGCCCCCCCCAAGCAAGACGUGGUCACACCCACACUAAACCCCGCACUUGGCGGUAAACCCAGUACGGUAUCCUACGCCCCCGGGGAAAGACGUGGUCGCAUCCGUACUGUAAACCCAGCAUAUAGCUGUCCCAGCAUAAAGCUGUAAACUGAAUAUCACCACCACACGAAAUGACAAAGGGUAAUAACCGCCAAUAGCCGUCACCCUGCAUUAAGCGAUAUAAGCAUUAACCUGUCAACAUCAUCAAAUGCAAACCCACCAUGCAGUAAAGAGAAAUCACCUGAAGACACAAGCACUUACACAGUGCAUUAAUUUGAUUAGACAAAUAAAUGCAAAAGGCAACACCAUCAACUUAAGAAAUAUGUUGCUCAAACAGUUGUACACGAAUAACUGAACCUCAUCAUAGUAACUUUAACCAUGGAUACUGGCUGUACACUAGCAACCACACCAACUGCAGGACAAUUGUUCACCUAAAGUGAUAUCAAUCAGUGAUCAAAUCAAAGGUAAGUCCUUUCUAUAGCUCUCAGCGACCACAACAUAAUAACAUAUAACAAUGGGCAGAAGUAUACUACGUCAUACCAGAUUGAUAUCCAUGAUAUUUACCAACUCAAUCAUGACAGAAGUUGUACAGCUGAAUAAAUUCAAGGGCAAGGAAAGAAGUAUGUGCAAUUAUAAAACACAAACAUACCAGUAGAGAUCUAUGACCAUGUUAUCUUACCUGCUGUCCAGAGACGUGUCCUUCACCGAUUAAAGUACGUAUAUACAUAUCCACGAAUUUAAAAGAUAUGAAGCAGUUUAUUUUCCUUGCCAGUGGAUAAAAAUCAAUGCAAGCAACACAGUAUAUGCAUGUCCUUCUAUUCAAGUAUCUAACAAUGAAGCUACUGCUUGAUAAUACCUUGUCAUCAAGCAUGUAACAUUUGAUAGCAAUACACACACACACACCCACACACAUCUCAAAUCUGCAGACCACAGGUGCCAAAAUAACCAAAUUCUCAGAAAGUGAAUAGCAGGAUACUCGCAUGAUAUCUAAAAUUAUGUUCCAAACAAGCAGGACACCACCUUAAAGCUUAUUAAACAAUAUCUCACUGUGUUAUCAUGUACACUGUAAUUUUGCCUUGAAGAAAUCUUGAAGAUGCACGCAAGUAAAAACUGACCUCAAAGGCAGCCCAUAUGUAGCAUCAUAUAUGUGUCCAUAUCCUUCAUCUCUGUGAAACCAGUCUCCUCAUCUUUCACCUUCCUUUCCAUUUCAACUUAAUCUCUGUGAAAGAAACUUCACAUGACUAGAAUCCAUGAGUAGAACAAAUAUAUAUAACAUAUAUGAGUAGAAACCAUGUCUACAUGAUUCAUUUAAUUACCAUAUGGAAGACAAUCAGAGAUCAGGAACAUCGAUGCAAUAAACAUAUACUCCCACAUAUAUACACAGACUGGCACCACUUAAAAGAAGGGAACAACUUCAUAUGAAUAAGAACUAGGAUUAACCUCACCUGACAGCCAUGACAGAUAUCUAAUUUCCAAAACUAGAUUAGGGGAGCAACACUACACCUCUGCUUAACUAGGUAGAGUAGCGAGAUCUUUUCAAAGAUCACUACAGUAAACAACAACUUCAUAACUCCAUGGGAAAAAUUCCUUUAAUCAAAUCAAACAAAAUCAGAUAUUCGUCCCAAGCUCUAACCAAACAUACAUAUAGAUUUGACUACUAUACCCCGUCCUAUUUGAUCAAUACAACUAUCAAUAAAUUAAACAAAACGGAAGAACUUCACCUCCUAGCAUUCACAAUGAGGAACCACUCAUAGAAAACAGUGGUUAUCACCUACCAUUCAUAAUGAUGAACCAAGAAUACAGUUUUUGGAUGUAAACGUAUUAAAUUGAGGAACUCAUAUAUAGAACUCUAAGUGUGAGAUAACAUCAAGAUCAUAAUUUCAUAAUAAUAACCUUUUGUCGAUCAUUCAAAGCAAAGAAAGAUAUAUCCCAAUGAAAGCUCCAAACUUUUAAGCACACAGAAAAUAAUGAAAUACAAAGAUCAAUGCUUUCAGCCACUUAUAUCAUUCUGUAUUCCCAAAACACAAUUUAGUAAGGUCCGAGGUAUGAACCUAGGCUCUGAUACCAUUUUGUAACACCCUGACCCAGAUUAACGGAUGAUAAAUCCGAGAUUAGGGUGUCACGAAAUGGUUUAGAAACAUCAAUUAGGUCUUACCGCGUUUGAGAAGAUCAAAUACUGUAGUUGAAUUUUCAUGAGAUUUAAACACAACCCCAAAAGACAUAAACCCAGAUGAAAUCAUAAAUACCCGAAACGAGGAGCUGGAGCUUCCAGCCUUCCCACCCGGCCCCUCUCCCCUCCUUUCGAUCCCUUUUCUGCCUAAAAAGAUCGAGAAAGUUGGUGGAGGGUGAUAAGAUCAGGGAGGUCGUUGUCUUCCUCUAACUCCUUCUCAGAGAAGAAAAGAAAAUCGGAG
This 5126-nucleotide long non-coding RNA is filed under the name Fragaria vesca (wild strawberry). Its description in RNAcentral is "long non-coding RNA (FVES_LNC003269)". Lineage: Eukaryota; Viridiplantae; Streptophyta; Magnoliopsida; Rosales; Rosaceae. The record is from RNAcentral.